CUUAUGCUCAACUAAUCC
RNAcentral lists this unclassified non-coding RNA (18 nucleotides) under Mus musculus (house mouse). RNAcentral's name for it is "oocyte_clustered_small_RNA7918". The record is from RNAcentral. Lineage: Eukaryota; Metazoa; Chordata; Mammalia; Rodentia; Muridae.